Molecule: long non-coding RNA, 1101 nt
Filed under: Physcomitrium patens
Lineage: Eukaryota; Viridiplantae; Streptophyta; Bryopsida; Funariales; Funariaceae
Description: long non-coding RNA (PPAT_LNC013686)
Source: RNAcentral
GUGCAUUUGUAUUCUAAGUUCCUAUCAUGUAUUGAUAAAUUAUUCUGGAGGGACCUAGUGUUUUGGAUUCUAGAUUAAAAUGGAGCUGACUCGCUUACCAAGAUUUGCAGGCACACCUCCCGGCGAGGACAUUUAUGAAACAUACAAGAACGAUUCUCUUGAACCUUCAUAGAAAGGCCCCCGCAUCAAUCUUACAGUUUCAACAGUCCUGCAGCAGGAUACGAUUUUUUCCUCAGCAAAAAAUGUUCUCAAAGGAAUUCCCACAGACAUAGCAGAAGGAACAAGACUUAAGAAAGGAUAUGGUAUCUAGUCCGAGUCCCAAGGAUCCCAUCACAACAGUCCAAUGAGAGUUUCAUCACUCUAAACAGCGUACCGUGGUGGAAUUCACCCAACAACUGAGUAACUUGUUCACUCAUAUGUCGGUGAGGAAUGCAAUAUCUCUUGUGCUUCGCAACCCACAAGCUCCACAAUGCCUGGAGAGGCGAUGAUUCAAGACAGGGAGUCGACUUCAUCGAGCAAGAGAGAUUCGCAGCGGGUUCGUUUAUGGAGGGGCUUGAUACACAGUGAUUAUUGUCCAUCUAAGAAGACCCACAUGUAUGCAUUGUUGGCGAGUAUUCUCUUCGUCGGUUCAGUCUGCUUUGUGGUCAUGAGUAGUCUCGGUCCAAAUUACAUGAAUAGUCGGAUCCAAGGUCUUUCGGUGUCACCUACUGGUGACAUUCCAUCUUACUCAAAGACCUCAAAGCGUGACGUUUCAGGCAAUGCUAAUGCAGCAGGAGGAAUGGACAUCAGUGCACAAAUUCAGAAGGCCGUCAUCAUUGAUGUCAAUGCAUCUGCCCCACCUGGACAGCUACUAUUGAAAGAUCCUGUGUGCUAUCAAAACAUGUCAGUAACAUGGCAUCAACUGAGUGACGAGCAGCUUCGACAGAAGGCGUCCGAGGCCCCUCUCCAGUCUAGAGGAUCAAAAAUUGCUUUCAUGUUCAUUACCAAGGGUCCCAUGCCUUUCGCUUCUAUGUGGGAACGUUAUUUCUGUGGCCACGAGAAUCAAUAUUCAAUUUUUUUACACGCUCAUCCAGACUAUGUCCCAUCACUCAACCCUGCAUC